This 468-nucleotide ribosomal RNA is filed under the name uncultured bacterium. RNAcentral's name for it is "partial 16S ribosomal RNA". It matches the Rfam family "Bacterial small subunit ribosomal RNA", at positions 28 to 507 of the family's 1533-position model. The record is from RNAcentral.
GACGAACGCUGGCGGCGUGCUUAACACAUGCAAGUCGAACGGAAAGGCCCUGCUUGUGUGGGGUGCUCGAGUGGCGAACGGGUGAGUAACACGUGAGUAACCUGCCCUUGACUUUGGGAUAACUUCAGGAAACUGGGGCUAAUACCGGAUAGGAGCUCCUGCUGCAUGGUGGGGGGUGGAAAGUUUCGGCGGUUGGGGAUGGACGCGCGGCUUAUCAGCUUGUUGGUGGGGGAGUGGCUGACCAAGGCUUUGACGGGUAGCCGGCCUGGGAGGGUGACCGGCCACCUUGGGACUAAGGUACGGCCCAGACUCCUACGGGAGGCAGCAGUGGGGAAUAUUGCACAAUGGGCGGAAGCCUGAUGCAGCAACGCCGCGUGCGGGAUGACGGCCUUCGGGUUGUAAACCGCUUUCGCCUGUGACGAAGCGUGAGUGACGGUAAUGGGUAAAGAAGCACCGGCUAACUACGUG